This 468-nucleotide ribosomal RNA is filed under the name uncultured bacterium. RNAcentral's name for it is "partial 16S ribosomal RNA". It matches the Rfam family "Bacterial small subunit ribosomal RNA", at positions 28 to 507 of the family's 1533-position model. The record is from RNAcentral.
GACGAACGCUGGCGGCGUGCUUAACACAUGCAAGUCGAACGGAAAGGCCCUGAUUUUGUGGGGUGCUCGAGUGGCGAACGGGUGAGUAACACGUGAGUAACCUGCCCUUGACUUUGGGAUAACUUCAGGAAACUGGGGCUAAUACCGGAUAGGAGCUCCUGCUGCAUGGAGGGGGUUGGAAAGUUUCGGCGGUUGGGGAUGGACUGGCGGCUUAUCAGCUUGUUGGUGGGGUAGUGGCUUACCAAGGCUGUGACGGGUAGCCGGCCUGGGAGGGUGACCGGCGACAUUGGGCCUGAGAUACGGCCCAGACUCCUACGGGAGGCAGCAGUGGGGAAUAUUGCACAAUGGGCGGAAGCCUGAUGCAGCAACGCCGCGUGCGGGAUGACGGCUUUCGGGGUGUAAACCGCUUUCGCCUGUGACGAAGCGUGAGUGACGGUAAUGGGUAAAGAAGCACCGGCUAACUACGUG